GUACGGCUUCCACGUUCUGAUCAUCGUCCUCCUCAUCCUCUGAAUCAUUAGAGCUACUCCUCUCCACCGUCUCUGCUACUGCCGACUCCUUACCUGUUGUCAUAUUAUCAGCACGGAACUUGCCUUCCUUUUUGACCAACCCAUCAGAAGCUAGAUGUUCUCGCACAUGGGCAUCUCCGCAUAGCUGAGUAACUAAUGAAGGGAAAAAAAACCCAUACUUUUUGACUUGGCUACGGACGAACAUCUUCUCAUGCAUAACUUUAGCCACAUCAAAGUUGUGACCAUUUACAAAGCACCAUAUCAGAGAAGCUUUGGGCCCAUUUACCUCUGUUGUAUUGUGCCACAGGAUCAAUCAGUUAU
RNAcentral lists this long non-coding RNA (360 nucleotides) under Nicotiana benthamiana. RNAcentral's name for it is "long non-coding RNA (NBEN_LNC003689)". The record is from RNAcentral. Lineage: Eukaryota; Viridiplantae; Streptophyta; Magnoliopsida; Solanales; Solanaceae.